GAUGAACGCUGGCGGCGUGCCUAAUACAUGCAAGUCAACGGGGAGUAUUAAUUUCGAUUUUUACUCCUAGUGGCGAACGGGUGAGUAACACGUAGGUGACCUGCCUCGAAGACGGGGAUAACCGCUGGAAACGGCGGCUAAUACCCGAUGGUCUCGGCGAUUCGGUUCGUCGAGUAAAGCUCCGGCGCUUCGAGAGGGGCCUGCGGCCCAUCAGCUUGUUGGUAGGGUAAUGGCCUACCAAGGCAAAGACGGGUAGGGGGCGUGAGAGCGUGACCCCCCACACUGGCACUGGGACACGGGCCAGACUCCUACGGGAGGCAGCAGUGAGGAAUAUUGCCCAAUGGGCGAAAGCCUGAGGCAGCAACGCCGCGUGGGUGAUGAAGGCCCUCGGGUCGUAAAACCCUUUUCUGGGGGAAGAGAAAGGACGGUACCCCAGGAAUAAGUCUCGGCUAACUAUGUG
RNAcentral lists this ribosomal RNA (460 nucleotides) under uncultured bacterium. RNAcentral's name for it is "bacterial SSU rRNA". It matches the Rfam family "Bacterial small subunit ribosomal RNA", at positions 28 to 507 of the family's 1533-position model. The record is from RNAcentral.